Eriocheir sinensis (Chinese mitten crab) is the source of this 2020-nucleotide long non-coding RNA. RefSeq lists it as uncharacterized. Lineage: Eukaryota; Metazoa; Arthropoda; Malacostraca; Decapoda; Varunidae. The record is from RefSeq and is a predicted model, not a curated record. The transcript is spliced from 5 exons.
GCAGGUGGGGCUCGUUAGCCAUGGUAGGCAAUUCACCUAGGAGAGCAAACUCUAUACAAACCCGGGCAGGUGGAGGUCGUUAGCCGUGGUAGGCAAUUCACCUAGGAGAGCAAACUCUAUACAAACCCGGGCAGGUGGAGCUCGUUAGCCGUGGUAGGCAAUUCACCUAGGAGAGCAAACUCUAUACAAACCCGGGCAGGUGGAGGUCGUUAGCCGUGGUAGGCAAUUCACCUAGGAGAGCAAACUCCGAACAAUAAACCCGGGCAGGUGGAGCUCGUUAGCCGUGGUAGGCAAUUCACCUAGGAGAGCAAACUCUAUACAAACCCGGGCAGGUGGAGCUCGUUAGCCGUGGUAGGCAAUUCACCUAGGAGAGCAAACUCUAUACAAACCCGGGCAGGUGGAGGUCGUUAGCCGUGGUAGGCAAUUCACCUAGGAGAGCAAACUCUAUACAAACCCGGGCAGGUGGAGCUCGUUAGCCGUGGUAGGCAAUUCACCUAGGAGAGCAAACUCCGAACAAUAAACCCGGGCAGGUGGAGCUCGUUAGCCGUGGUAGGCAAUUCACCUAGGAGAGCAAACUCCGAACAAUAAACCCGGGCAGGUGGAGCUCGUUAGCCGUGGUAGGCAAUUCACCUAGGAGAGCAAACUCCGAACAAUAAACCCGGGCAGGUGGAGCUCGUUAGCCGUGGUAGGCAAUUCACCUAGGAGAGCAAACUCCGAACAAUAAACCCGGGCAGGUGGAGCUCGUUAGCCGUGGUAGGCAAUUCACCUAGGAGAGCAAACUCUAUACAAACCCGGGCAGGUGGAGCUCGUUAGCCGUGGUAGGCAAUUCACCUAGGAGAGCAAACUCCGAACAAUAAACCCGGGCAGGUGGAGCUCGUUAGCCGUGGUAGGCAAUUCACCUAGGAGAGCAAACUCCGAACAAUAAACCCGGGCAGGUGGAGCUCGUUAGCCGUGGUAGGCGAUCUGCCUAGGAGAGCAAACUCCGAACAAUAAACCCGGGCAGGUGGAGCUCGUUAGCCGUGGUAGGCGAUCUGCCUAGGAGAGCAAACUCCGAAAAAUAAACCCGGGCUUGUGGUGCUCGUUAGAUGUCGUAGACAAUCCACGUGAUGGGAACACCAAAGAAAAGGAAAAUAAAGAAGAACAUCAGAAAAAGGAAAAUAAAGAAACGAAACAUCAAGAAAAGAAAACGCAAACACUGAUCAUCCACCUUUCGGCCCUGACUAACAUCAACAAAAUUAUGGGUGAGUCUCUUCUGGGGAGAAAGCGGCUCACCCAGACCAAAGAACAUCAACAAAAGGAUGAAAGAGAAAAGAACAUCUAGAAACUAUGGAAAAGAAAAAAGAACAAAAAAAACAUCGGAAAAGAAAAGUAACAGCAAUAAAAGAACAUCAAGAAAAGAAAAAUACAAAGAAACAUCAUCCACCUUUCGGCCCUAAGUAACAUCACCAAAAUUAUGGGUGGGUCUCUUCUGGGGAGAAAGCGGCUCACCCAGACCAAAGAACAUCAACAAAAGGAUGAUAUGAAUAAAUGAACAUAAAAAAGAACAUAAAGAAAACACAUCAAGGAAAGAAAAAUACAAAGAAACAUCAUCCACCUUUCGGCCCCAAUCAACAUCGCCAAAAUUAUGGGUGGGUCUCUUCUGGGAGGAAAGAGGCUCAUUCAGACCAAAGAACAUCAACAAAAGGAUGAUAGGAAUAAAAACAUAAAGAAAAGAAAUAAGAAGAAAAAGAACAAAGAAACAUCGAAAAAGAAAAACAGCCGCAAUAAAAAGAGAAAGAAAAAACAUCAAGGAAAGAAAAAUAUAACAAACAUCAUCCACCUUUCGGCCCUGACUAACAUCACCAAAAUUAUGGGUGGGUCUCUUCUGGGAGGAAAGCGGCUCACCCAGACCAACGAACAUCAACAAAAGGAUGAUAGGAAGAAAAGAACACCAGAAAUAACAUCAAAAAAGAAAACCAACAGCAAGAAAACACAAAGGAAAAGUAAAAGAAAGAAAAAGAAAGAAAAGAAAAAGAAAAAC